Triticum dicoccoides is the source of this 983-nucleotide long non-coding RNA. RefSeq lists it as uncharacterized. The record is from RefSeq and is a predicted model, not a curated record. Lineage: Eukaryota; Viridiplantae; Streptophyta; Magnoliopsida; Poales; Poaceae. The transcript is spliced from 3 exons.
UCGCAGCUGCGAGCGGCAUGCUUCUGCCUACCAGUUCCUGUCUGCCACAUGUUCGGCCAAAUGGUUCAGUGCCCGUUUCCCACUUUCCCCUCUUUCAUAACUUGCAGAAAAUCAUGGUCCUGCGCUACUAGCCCCAUCUGGAAAUUCGACUGGUUUUGAUCAUUUUGUACUAAGGCUGUACACAUUUUGUACUAAUGCCCGUUUCCAAGUGAGAAUGAGAAUGCUACAGACUGCAGGAGGCAUUGAACGGGUCAUGUCCAUGUUUACUUCGAGAUUAAUCUUAGAGAGCAUUGAACCCUGCAAAUAUGACCAGCUUCGAACUGCUGUGAACUUGUGGGUAAUGGUUCCCGUUUAUUUCGAGAUCCAAUCCUCGAUAAGCAUUGACCUCUGCAAAUAUGACCAUCCUGGAACUGCUGCAAACUUGUGGUACUUAACUAUCAUUCUGAGAUAGCUAUAUAUCUGAUUCUGCUGACCUGGUUUUCAUGAGCAUUCCUUUCUGUUCCUCCAAGCAUUUUCAGUCUUACAUGGAAUCCUGUUCGCAUGCCUAAGAAUCAGGUCAGCUUAUUUUACAUGUUGUAUUCAUCAGACCGUGUUCACACGCCUAAGAAUUGAGUAGCUUGAGUUUCUCAUAGAACAUUAAUUGCCGCUAUGGAAUUUCUUAAGAAGUUGUAGCCUGUAGGUAAUGUGUUGCCUGGCUAAUAAAUAGUUUGUUCUUCAUAGACACUUUUGCUACUACUACCAUUUCAAUUCAUGCUGAACCAUUGCCUGGGAAAUAAAAUGUCGACAACCUUGUCAGAUGCAAUCUGUCAGCCGUGUCAAGUUAUUCUGUUUCUUUUAUCCUAGAAUUUCCUGCCUUCUGCAACCAAGGAGUCAGGACCAUGCUGCAUUGUCGUGUGCUUAUCUGGUCCUAUACAUCCAACUAUAGUGCCAAUUAGUUGGGUUCUUAUAUUACUCAAAAAGAAGGUAUAUUUAACAGAGAAAUA